This 91-nucleotide non-coding RNA is filed under the name human gut metagenome. RNAcentral describes it as "THF riboswitch". It matches the Rfam family "THF (Tetrahydrofolate) riboswitch aptamer". From Rfam's summary of the family: THF riboswitch presents a pseudoknot that joins P1-P2 and the loop of P3 and two THF binding. The record is from RNAcentral.
AGAGUAAAUGCUGUGGCGUCAAGUGCCGACGGGACGGGGAGUUGCCGGUCGGACGAAGGAGAAAUCCGCGGUCACGGUGUUGCAUCCCGCU